UACAGAGGUGGCAAGCGUUGUUCGGAAUUACUGGGCGUAAAGGGCGCGUAGGCGGUCUUCUAAGUCUUGUGUGAAAUCCCUCGGCUUAACUGAGGAACUGCACGGGAUACUGGAUGACUUGAGUUCGGGAGAGGGAAGCGGAAUUCCGGGUGUAGCGGUGAAAUGCGCAGAUAUCAGGAGGAACACCGGUGGCGAAGGCGGGUCUCUGGGCCGAUACUGACGCUGAGGAGCGAAAGCGUGGGGAGCGAACAGG
This 253-nucleotide ribosomal RNA is filed under the name uncultured bacterium. RNAcentral's name for it is "partial 16S ribosomal RNA". It matches the Rfam family "Bacterial small subunit ribosomal RNA", at positions 524 to 776 of the family's 1533-position model. The record is from RNAcentral.